This 252-nucleotide ribosomal RNA is filed under the name uncultured bacterium. Its description in RNAcentral is "partial 16S ribosomal RNA". It matches the Rfam family "Bacterial small subunit ribosomal RNA", at positions 524 to 776 of the family's 1533-position model. The record is from RNAcentral.
UACGGAGGAUGCGAGCGUUAUCCGGAUUUAUUGGGUCUAAAGGGUGCGUAGGCGGACGCUUAAGUCAGCGGUAAAAUUGCGGGGCUCAACCUCGUCGAGCCGUUGAAACUGGGUGCCUUGAGUGGGCGAGAAGUACGCGGAAUGCGUGGUGUAGCGGUGAAAUGCAUAGAUAUCACGCAGAACUCCGAUUGCGAAGGCAGCGUACCGGCGCCCUACUGACGCUGAAGCACGAAGGCGUGGGUAUCGAACAGG